RNAcentral lists this ribosomal RNA (1527 nucleotides) under Salmonella enterica subsp. enterica serovar Kentucky. RNAcentral describes it as "bacterial SSU rRNA". It matches the Rfam family "Bacterial small subunit ribosomal RNA". The record is from RNAcentral. Lineage: Bacteria; Pseudomonadati; Pseudomonadota; Gammaproteobacteria; Enterobacterales; Enterobacteriaceae.
AGAGUUUGAUCAUGGCUCAGAUUGAACGCUGGCGGCAGGCCUAACACAUGCAAGUCGAACGGUAACAGGAAGCAGCUUGCUGCUUCGCUGACGAGUGGCGGACGGGUGAGUAAUGUCUGGGAAACUGCCUGAUGGAGGGGGAUAACUACUGGAAACGGUGGCUAAUACCGCAUAACGUCGCAAGACCAAAGAGGGGGACCUUCGGGCCUCUUGCCAUCAGAUGUGCCCAGAUGGGAUUAGCUGUUGGAGUUGGUGAGGUAACGGCUCACCAAGGCGACGAUCCCUAGCUGGUCUGAGAGGAUGACCAGCCACACUGGAACUGAGACACGGUCCAGACUCCUACGGGAGGCAGCAGUGGGGAAUAUUGCACAAUGGGCGCAAGCCUGAUGCAGCCAUGCCGCGUGUAUGAAGAAGGCCUUCGGGUUGUAAAGUACUUUCAGCGGGGAGGAAGGUGUUGUGGUUAAUAACCGCAGCAAUUGACGUUACCCGCAGAAGAAGCACCGGCUAACUCCGUGCCAGCAGCCGCGGUAAUACGGAGGGUGCAAGCGUUAAUCGGAAUUACUGGGCGUAAAGCGCACGCAGGCGGUCUGUCAAGUCGGAUGUGAAAUCCCCGGGCUCAACCUGGGAACUGCAUUCGAAACUGGCAGGCUUGAGUCUUGUAGAGGGGGGUAGAAUUCCAGGUGUAGCGGUGAAAUGCGUAGAGAUCUGGAGGAAUACCGGUGGCGAAGGCGGCCCCCUGGACAAAGACUGACGCUCAGGUGCGAAAGCGUGGGGAGCAAACAGGAUUAGAUACCCUGGUAGUCCACGCCGUAAACGAUGUCUACUUGGAGGUUGUGCCCUUGAGGCGUGGCUUCCGGAGCUAACGCGUUAAGUAGACCGCCUGGGGAGUACGGCCGCAAGGUUAAAACUCAAAUGAAUUGACGGGGGCCCGCACAAGCGGUGGAGCAUGUGGUUUAAUUCGAUGCAACGCGAAGAACCUUACCUGGUCUUGACAUCCACAGAACUUUCCAGAGAUGGACUGGUGCCUUCGGGAACUGUGAGACAGGUGCUGCAUGGCUGUCGUCAGCUCGUGUUGUGAAAUGUUGGGUUAAGUCCCGCAACGAGCGCAACCCUUAUCCUUUGUUGCCAGCGGUCCGGCCGGGAACUCAAAGGAGACUGCCAGUGAUAAACUGGAGGAAGGUGGGGAUGACGUCAAGUCAUCAUGGCCCUUACGACCAGGGCUACACACGUGCUACAAUGGCGCAUACAAAGAGAAGCGACCUCGCGAGAGCAAGCGGACCUCAUAAAGUGCGUCGUAGUCCGGAUUGGAGUCUGCAACUCGACUCCAUGAAGUCGGAAUCGCUAGUAAUCGUGGAUCAGAAUGCCACGGUGAAUACGUUCCCGGGCCUUGUACACACCGCCCGUCACACCAUGGGAGUGGGUUGCAAAAGAAGUAGGUAGCUUAACCUUCGGGAGGGCGCUUACCACUUUGUGAUUCAUGACUGGGGUGAAGUCGUAACAAGGUAACCGUAGGGGAACCUGCGGUUG